UACGUAGGGUGCGAGCGUUGUCCGGAAUUAUUGGGCGUAAAGAGCUCGUAGGCGGUUUGUCGCGUCUGCUGUGAAAGCCCGGGGCUCAACCCCGGGUCUGCAGUGGGUACGGGCAGGCUAGAGUGUGGUAGGGGAGACUGGAAUUCCUGGUGUAGCGGUGGAAUGCGCAGAUAUCAGGAGGAACACCGAUGGCGAAGGCAGGUCUCUGGGCCGUUACUGACGCUGAGGAGCGAAAGCAUGGGUAGCGAACAGGAUUAGAUACCCGGGUA
This 269-nucleotide ribosomal RNA is filed under the name uncultured prokaryote. RNAcentral describes it as "partial 16S ribosomal RNA". It matches the Rfam family "Bacterial small subunit ribosomal RNA", at positions 524 to 792 of the family's 1533-position model. The record is from RNAcentral.